This 589-nucleotide ribosomal RNA is filed under the name Trichoderma asperellum. Its description in RNAcentral is "eukaryotic LSU rRNA". The stretch from base 201 to 354 matches the Rfam family "5.8S ribosomal RNA". The record is from RNAcentral. Lineage: Eukaryota; Fungi; Ascomycota; Sordariomycetes; Hypocreales; Hypocreaceae.
UGCGGAGGGAUCAUUACCGAGUUUACAACUCCCAAACCCAAUGUGAACGUUACCAAACUGUUGCCUCGGCGGGGUCACGCCCCGGGUGCGUCGCAGCCCCGGAACCAGGCGCCCGCCGGAGGAACCAACCAAACUCUUUCUGUAGUCCCCUCGCGGACGUAUUUCUUUACAGCUCUGAGCAAAAAUUCAAAAUGAAUCAAAACUUUCAACAACGGAUCUCUUGGUUCUGGCAUCGAUGAAGAACGCAGCGAAAUGCGAUAAGUAAUGUGAAUUGCAGAAUUCAGUGAAUCAUCGAAUCUUUGAACGCACAUUGCGCCCGCCAGUAUUCUGGCGGGCAUGCCUGUCCGAGCGUCAUUUCAACCCUCGAACCCCUCCGGGGGAUCGGCGUUGGGGAUCGGGACCCCUCACACGGGUGCCGGCCCCUAAAUACAGUGGCGGUCUCGCCGCAGCCUCUCCUGCGCAGUAGUUUGCGCAACUCGCACCGGGAGCGCGGCGCGUCCACGUCCGUAAAACACCCAACUUUCUGAAAUGUUGACCUCGGAUCAGGUAGGAAUACCCGCUGAACUUAAGCAUAUCAAUAAGCGGAGGA